GAGACAGCCUACGGGUGGCUGCAGUGAGGAAUAUUGGUCAAUGGACGCAAGUCUGAACCAGCCAUGCCGCGUGAAGGAUGAAGGCGUUUGCGUCGUAAACUUCUUUUACCUGGGAAGCGGUACCAGAGGAAUAAGCACCGGCUAACUCCGUGCCAGCAGCCGCGGUAAUACGGAGGGUGCGAGCGUUAUCCGGAUUUACUGGGUUUAAAGGGUGUGUAGGCGGGCUAUUAAGUCAGCGGUGAAAUCUUCGGGCUCAACCCGGAAACUGCCAUUGAUACUAUUAGUCUUGAAUACUGUGGAGGUAUGCGGAAUGUGUCAUGUAGCGGUGAAAUGCUUAGAGAUGACACAGAACACCGAUUGCGAAGGCAGCGUACUACACGUAUUGACGCUGAGGCUCGAAAGCGUGGGGAUCAAACAGGAUUAGAUACCCCUGUAGUC
Molecule: ribosomal RNA, 438 nt
Filed under: uncultured bacterium
Lineage: Bacteria
Description: partial 16S ribosomal RNA
Rfam family: Bacterial small subunit ribosomal RNA
Source: RNAcentral